UGGGGAAUAUCGGACAAUGGGCGGAAGCCUGAUCCAGCCAUGCCGCGUGUGUGAAGAAGGCCUUUUGGUUGUAAAGCACUUUAAGCGAGGAGGAGGCUACUUGGAUUAAUACUCUAGGAUAGUGGACGUUACUCGCAGAAUAAGCACCGGCUAACUCUGUGCCAGCAGCCGCGGUAAUACAGAGGGUGCGAGCGUUAAUCGGAUUUACUGGGCGUAAAGCGUGCGUAGGCGGCUUCUUAAGUCGGAUGUGAAAUCCCUGAGCUUAACUUAGGAAUUGCAUUCGAUACUGGGAAGCUAGAGUAUGGGAGAGGAUGGUAGAAUUCCAGGUGUAGCGGUGAAAUGCGUAGAGAUCUGGAGGAAUACCGAUGGCGAAGGCAGCCAUCUGGCCUAAUACUGACGCUGAGGUACGAAAGCAUGGGGAGCAAACAGG
This 430-nucleotide ribosomal RNA is filed under the name Bacillota bacterium. RNAcentral's name for it is "Firmicutes bacterium partial 16S ribosomal RNA". It matches the Rfam family "Bacterial small subunit ribosomal RNA", at positions 355 to 776 of the family's 1533-position model. The record is from RNAcentral. Lineage: Bacteria; Bacillati; Bacillota.